Vidua chalybeata is the source of this 839-nucleotide long non-coding RNA. RefSeq lists it as uncharacterized. The transcript is spliced from 2 exons. The record is from RefSeq and is a predicted model, not a curated record. NCBI's taxonomy places the organism in Eukaryota, Metazoa, Chordata, Aves, Passeriformes, Viduidae.
CAGAGGUACAAAGUCACAGACCCAGAGGCACAAGGUCACAAACCCAGAGGUACAAAGUCACAGACCCAGAGGCACAAACCGAGUCACAGACCCAGAGGCACAAAGUCACAGACCCAGAGGCACAAAGUCACAAACCCAGAGGCACAAACCCAGAGGUACAAAGUCACAGACCCAGAGGUACAAAGUCACAGACCCAGAGGCACAAAGUCACAGACCCAGAGGCACAAACCGAGUCACAGACCCAGAGGUACAAAGUCACAGACCCAGAGAGGCUUUUCCCAGCCCUGAGCCCGUGCUUGGCCAGGAAACCAGGCCAGGAGAAGGAAUUUGGAGCUUCAGGAGCAGCCGUGCAGCCCAAACCCCCCUGAGCCAGCCUGGGGAUGGGAUUUAGCAGAGUUUGUCCCCACAGGAUCCUCUGCUGGCUCUCAGCAUCCCAGCCUGCAGAGUUCCACCGCUCCAGGGACUCACUCCGUGGUCAGGAGGAAGAAAGAGCUCAGGGUUACCCGGAGUAAUUGGAACUGCACGACCCCAAAGCUUCUCGCCGGAGAAUCACAAAAGGCUCAGGCUGCUCCUGCAAAUCCUCCCAGAGCCGCCUCAGAGAUUCAGAAAUUCUGCUCAAACAGCCCCAGCACAGAGCCCUGCCUCGCCUUUCAUCCUCACAUGCUCCUGUGCCUUCCAAAGGAGAUAAAAUGGAAUUAAAAACUGCCCCGGCAGAACCUCGUCAGGAACCCAUGGUUCUGCUCCGCUCCAGAACAGCGAAAUCCUGAUUUAUUCAUGGCAAAGUGCAGCACGCAUAACAAAUGGCGGAGAAAUUAAAGGAUGUGCUGAUUUGGAAACGA